Molecule: long non-coding RNA, 605 nt
Organism: Gossypium arboreum
Lineage: Eukaryota; Viridiplantae; Streptophyta; Magnoliopsida; Malvales; Malvaceae
Exons: 2
Source: RefSeq, a predicted model, not a curated record
UAUAUUUAAAAAAAAAAGAGGAAAAUAGAGGGCCUUUGCCCCCUCUCCUUCUCCCUUUCCUAUUUUUCUCCUUUGGCUAAGGUUAGGAAACCCAUCAUCGCCGCUGUUACCACGGCAACACCACAAGCGAUGGUCGACGACGCGAAUGGGUGAGGUCAUUUAGCCCCUUUUCAAGGCAUCCCCGAAGGCUACGCCUUCUCGAUCUUCCCCCAUUUGGUUCAACCCCGACAACGGAAGAGGAACCCUGGCGACGAAACUUCAGACAAUCCCGGUGCCAUGCGACGCGUGAAAGGGGCGACGGUCAGGGGUGUGGUGGCCGAGGUGGCAUGCGUGGUGGUGUGCGAGGUGGCCACUGGUUGGCCUGGUGUGCGGCUGAGGCUUGGGGGCUGAGUUUUUUUUGCUGCUGAAAAUGUUUAGUUUGUUGGGCUAGGUGGCCUUUAGGGUUUUGUAUUAUUUGGGUCAUUGUAAUUGGGUUUGGGCUGUUCAAUGUGGAAAUUGGGCUUGCUGUUUUUUCUUUUCUUUUUUUUUGUAAAAUGGAAUUUGUUUUGGGACUUUUAUAUUUUAGAAUUAAUUUGGGUUUUUAUUUCUUGUUGGCUAGGCCAAAA